GGCUCAUCUUUCUGUCCUUGAUGCGAGCCGACUGUUAGACAAGGCGGUGUGCUGAGCAGAUCUGAGUGCCUUGAUGUCUGGGGAAGGUGACCUGAGAUGGUUUUGACCACGAAGAGGAAGCAGGAGAGCUUGAGGGACCGCGGACCAUCAGUGGCUAGGGGUGCGAUUACUGCCACGGCAUGAGGUUGAGGUUCGGCUUUCUUGCUUCCCUACACGUCUUGUAGUUUCUCUAACUUUGGCUUGGCUUCCCAAAUAAUCUGAUUUGCACGUUCUGGCUUUGUGUUUUCUUUGGCUAUUUUUAGAUCCUUUAAUUCUGCUUUGCUGGCAGCUGCUCUUCCCCCAAACACUUGAAGAACUUCCAAUCCCACAGUCAGAGGAGGCAGAGCCUGGGGGCUGGGAAGCCGCCUUCUUCCUGCCGUUUGGGACCGGCCUCAGGCGCGGCAGGGCACCCUCGGCCCACCGCAGGCCUCCUCCGCGGGAGCCUUCCAGCUGCGCCUUUCUCACGUGGUGCCGUGCUGGAGCUCAAGUCGGGGGACAGCGUGGUGAGCGUGGGCCCGCUCGCUCUUUCCGAAAAUGUCUCCGACGCCACGGAAGGCAGAGCUACAGAGAGACAGAGGCAGAAGGAGAGAGAGAGAAGUCUUCCAGCUGCUGAUUGAUUACCCAGAUGGCUGCAAUGGCCAGAGCUGUGCCAGUCCAAAACCAGGAGCCAGGAGCUUCCUCCGGGUCUCCCACACAGGUGCAGGGGCCCAAGGACUUGGGCCAUCUUCCACUGCUUUCCCAGGCCACAGCAGAGAGCCAGAUCGGAAGUGGAGCAGCCAGGACUCGAACCAGUGUCCACAUGAGAUGCCAGCACUGCAGGCUGCAGCCCUACCUGAGCUCCUAGGGUAAUGUCAAAUCUUUUCAACCAAUUUGUAUGUAUAAUUUAUUAUUAUUAAAUAUUUAUAAAUGAAGACAAUUCUCAUGACGUAUUGGUGAAGUCAAGUCACUGCUACACGAAAUACAUGUACUGUUUCUGUGCGUGUAAAGCACAAGAGAGCAAGGACGAGCUGGAGCCCAUGAGGAGGAGUGAAACGCCCGUCUGUGCUCACUGCCUUGGCUUGGUGGUAUGGACAACCUGCAGAAGCUGAGCCCCUCAUUAACAAAUGAAACACACCUGGUCAGAAGCGGCUACAGUCGAAGAAGGAUCUUGGAGAAGGAGGGGCAGUCACAGAACCAACCACUGCCCUACACGAGGAGCUGAGCCGGCAGCUACGUGAGAACACGUGUGAACUAAGGAACACCUGCCGCCUCCAUUCUGCCCACAGGAACCUCUCUGUGGAUGGCUCUGACCAGAGACAGACAGAAAAGGAAACUCUCAGAAGUGUGGUUCAGCCUAAAGGGGGACAUAUUACAAAGUCGCUGUACUCCUCUUCCUGAACUCUUGUCACUGAAAUGCACCUGUCAAAUCCAAACUUAGUCUCCAGAUAAUGUGAACAAGUCAUGCUUCCCUAACAUGAUACAGCUAUGUGGUGUAUAAACGGCCACAUUCGCACUCUCUAAACGAACACACAGGGUCCUCUUCCAUCUAGAAUCGUUCUUUCUUCUCCUAAGAGAUUCACACACUCCUUUAAUGACCUCAGCCUGAAAUUCUGAGCCACGAAGCUAACACUAAUGAACACAUUUUAGGUAUAAUAAGAGAUAGGCAAAGAAAUGUUUAAAAUUCAACAAAUACAUAUAUAAGCUUCCAUUUCAAAAUACAGACUAUUCAUCACCGCUGUCUUACAUGCAGCUAGUCACAGGGCCAUAGCUGUUAUUUCUAAGUACCACGCUUCACUGCACGUCCCACAUUCCUGCUGCCUUUAACAAGUUCCUCAGCUGGUCACGGUUCCUUGCCUAGCCGGGGACUCAGGUUUACUGUUGCAGGUUUUGGGGCCAUCAGUACCUCUGCCUCAGUUGGGCAGCUCAGUUUACAUCACAGUCCAUGGAACACUAAGAGAUGUCCCAGAGUGUCUUCUGUAUUCCAUGCAUAAUCCUCCUUUCCUCGCUUGUGGGAUAGCAGCCCCGUUUCCCCGCUAGGCAGGAUUGAGGAUCCCAGCCCGUGGAGCACCCUCCUUUUUCAUCUGUUGAUUCACUAGCACAAUGAGCCCCAAACAGCCAGAUAGAAAUCUAAAAUUCCAGUUCAAUGGGAUAAUUGUUUCACAGUUAGUAAAGGGUUUCUCCCUUAAGAGCUAUCUUAGCUUGUCAUCUAUACAGCAAAAUAUUUGAGGCAGCUGACCUAAUAACGAGAAAGGGUUCAAGUCCAUGACUGGGUGGCCCCCUUGGUUCAGUGUCUGAUGAUGGCAGUAGUGGGGGUUACAUAGAGAGUUAAGUGGUGAGCCAGGAAGCAGAAAGAGAGAAAGACGCAGGGGGGCCCAAAUCAGGCUUUAUAGCCAACACUCCAGCGAGAAUUACCUUCCAUGGGCAUGGCUCCAAUUACCUAAAGACUUUCCUCUGGGCUCACCUCCUAAAUACCAUAAUUGCAUGGCAUUUCCAUCCCCUUAGAGCCAUUAAUUUAGAACUUUGGGGUCUAAACCUCUGUAUGAGUUCAAACCACAUGUUAAAGCCACUGGCACCACAGAACCUAAAGCUGAAGGGAAACAAAAUUUUGCUACUGGAUUUCUAGGUAUGAUAUUGAGUGGUGCUACUCCCAUUUUCAGCACUUGGUUCUUACACCUGUGGCUCCUGGCUAGGGGAGAAAGAGCCCUGUCCGCUGGGUGCUGAUUUAGAGCACCUGCUGCAUCUUGGAGGCUAUUGCCCCACCCCUUCAAUAUUUUGCCACCUAUGAAGCGCUGUUAAGGAGUCUCCCAAAGGACAUUCCAUCAUCCAGCCAAGCCAGUCCUUUUAAGAUGAUAGGGAACAUAACUGAUGAGUUUCAGGAAGUCCAGGAACAUAAUAGAUCCAUUGUUGUCCUUUAUUUUUUAUUAAGCAAGUUCCUUGUUUGGAAGUCUGUUUGCAAUACAAUGAAGGGAGGUAAGGCACUCAGUUAAGUUCACAGAUGGUAGAGUUGGAAGAAACAUUGCAGGCAAGGAAGGCAAAACUUUGUCCAGAGUAAGUGGCUAAGAACAGAAUAUUCUCUCUUCCCUAAUGGAAGUGGCCCAACGUAGUAAUCUGCCACCCAGUCCUUAUACAAAGUGAAUGGUGCCAUAUUAAGGGCUCAGAGUUGAUCUUUGCUGUUGGAAGAUUGGCCACCUAGCAGUGGUUGCGAGCAGAUUAGUACUGGUGACUAGAAUUCCAUAUCCCUGGGGCCAGCACUGUGGGAAAGCUGGUUAAGCUGCUGCCUGCAGCACUGACAUCCCAUAUGGCACCUGUUCAAUUCCUGGCUGCUCCAUUUCCAAUCCAGCUUCCUGCUAAUGCACCUGGGAAAGCAGUGAUGGAUGGCCCAAGUGGUUGGGCCCCUGCACCCAAGUGGGAGACCCAGAAGAGUCUCUGGCUCCUGGCUUUGGUCCAAUCCAGCCCUGGCCAUUGUGGCCAUUUUGUGGGUGAAGCAGUGGAUAAAAGAUCUCUCUAAGUCUUUCAAAUAAAAAAUAAAUAAAACUUAAAAGAACCCCAUGUUCCUGAGCUACAGGGUACAUGGUGCACAUCCAUUGGCCAAUGACAGGAGUGGCUUGGGCAAAAUGCUAACUAGCAUCUACAGAAUGGGUCAUCCUCAUCCUAUCCACUUAUUAAAUUCUUCUCUGGUAGGACUACCUUUGGUGAGCAUUUGUGCAUUAGUUACCACUAUGUUCACUCCACUUACAUCUGGGGAGGCCUUUCCUCACGCCCUUCCACCCAGACCUUGCCAUUUAUUUCCCAAUCUUAUUCUUUCUAAGUCUCCGACUAUCCAGUCAAAACAUCAGCUACAGCCCAUGAGCCAGUUUAGGUCCGUACCAUCUCUCCUUCUUGGCAAAAUGAACAACAUUCCCUGACCAAAGUGCUACCCAGUGGCAGUAUUUCCUUUCUUCACUGGCCUUCUGGCCCAUUCCAGUGUGGGGUUGUAGUUGCAGCCGCCCUCUUUCAUGUGGGUUGUCAUCGCUAACCCAUUCCUGAAGGCUUUUUCUCUGCCUGUUAAAUAAGUUUAAGGAAUUUCCCCAUGAGGUGGAAAGAGAGAAGGCAAUGUGGCAGACACAGGGGCCAUGAGGAUCUGGGCCACCUUCUCAUACACUUGAGUUCUCAGGAUCUUCCCAAGCCUGAUUCACAUAUACCACUUCCACUGGGUGAUGGGCUGCAGCUGUGAAGGAUGCUGUUUAUGGCUUGAUAAGUCAGACAACCCCAAGUUCACAGUCAGUAGCUUAGUCCCAGGGCUCCAAGCCAGAAAAGAUGGCUAUUUCUCCAAAAGAGAGUCGUUAUCUGUAGGGGAUGACAAAACUUUGCUCCCAAAUCCUAAGGGUCUGCUCUAUGAUUCAUGUAGUGUUGCCCUUGGAAGCCCUCCAUGCGUCAUUGCUAUCAAUCACUGACACUUCAUGCAUAAACAUGUGACUUAUAUGGUCCAAGUGGUGGAGCAGCCUGGGAUAUCCUUCAGAUCCUCUUGUUCUGCAACCCACUCCAAACCACCAGGUUUUUGAGUUGCUUGGAAAGUGAGCCCAGUACAACAACGUAUUCCUCACCUUGAAUGAGAUAUCGCAAAAUGCCUUGGAGAAUGGAAUUCCACAAAUGGUUUUGUGGGGCUUAUUUCUCUCCCACUGAUGCAAACAUUAUCUCCCUGUGCCUAAAAUAGUGACCAUAUGUCCAGUCAGUGUAAGAUCAUCAACGUAUAGGGCCAGAAGGAGGUCCCGUGAACGGGAAACUGGCCAAGUCUCUGCGGACUAGAGCAUGGUGUAGAGAUGAAGCUUCCCUAGCCUUGAAGUAGAAUAGUUCAGUUCUGUCAUUGGCCUUGCCAACUCAAAAAAACAUGCUUUUGAUGGUUUCAUUAAUAGAUUUAGAGAAAAGGGCGUUUGCCAGAUCAAUGGACACAUAUCAGGUGACAGAGGAUGUGUUGAUUUGCUCCUACAACAAAUUCCAUCUGGUAGAGCAGCUGCAAUUGAAGUCACCACCUGAUUAAGUUUAAGGUAAUUCACUGUCAUUCUCCAAGCUCCAUCUGUCUUCUACACAGGCCAACUCUAUUAGACUGGUUAUAUGGGGGAUGUGGUGGGUAAUCACCAGGCCUGUAUCUUUCAAGUUCUUUGUGCUGACACUAAUCUUUACUGUGUCUGCAGAAAUGUGGUAUGGUUUGCUCCUCAAAGUAGAGGAAGCACUAGUGGCUUGUGGAGCCACUAUGUGGAGCUUCCAUAGCAGUCCAUGCUGCACAGGUUAGGGAACCGGUGUGGAGGUUCUGCUCCGUGUGUCUGUGCUAACUCUGCUCUCCAAAACUGCAGAGGAAUGGCAGCAAGUUGAUUUCAGAGCCUACUGGGAUCACUGUGAGAUGGAAAUGAACCAAAGCUCUAUUAGUCAUUUGUCCUUCAGAAACGCCUGCUCUGGUGGGCUGCAGUGACAUUUCAGACAUCCAGAACUGAGUGCAGAUUUAGACCCAGUGUCUCAUAAUCCCUGAAAAGUCUGAUUGCUUCUAUUUCCCUGAUGCGCAUUUGGGUAAGUGCCCACUGAGCUUUUUAGAAAAGAUAGGACAGCAGUACACAGGAUCAAUUUUUGAAGGAGAUAAGGUUCCUUCUUCAAGAACUCACUUUUAUCAAAGAAAUAUUACGUCAUAUCUCUUAAUCAGCAUGGCAGCUAACUUCCCCUUAACUACUUUACCCCAUUAUUGUCAGCUCAUUUUUGCACUGAGGUGAGUAACCUGGGAGAGGAUGCCAGUGUCGCUUGGAUUUUGUCCCUGUGAGCAGAGCAGCUCCAUCUCUAGCUUCCUCUUCGGUGCAGGGCCACUGCUUUAUGAAACCUGUGAGUCCUGAAGGGACUGUUAGCACUUGGCCCAUAGUAGGCUUGCAAUAAAUCGUUGGAAUCCAUUCUUACUGUUAGACCUAACCAUAGGAGUGUAAAAUCCACGUUCAUCCUAUUAGUUUGAAUGCUUUCGAGAGUUUUUUUUUCUUUUAGUUUGUUAAUCUCUCCCUAUAUAGCUUAACUUUUGUGUCAUCAGCAAAGUAAAUCUUUCCUGUCCCUUUGCUUUUCCUUCAGAGUUGAAAUCGCAGAGCUGUUGUCUCUGGCAUCUCCAGGCCCAGCCAUGACUGGCUUACUCCUGGGCAAGACUCCAUGCAGGUGCACUUGCGUGGCGAGUGGUGUGUACCAUAACCGACUUCGCUCUUCAUCUCUACAUGUAGCUUCCCGUGCAUAAAGAUCAACCUUCCAUAAUCACUCAGUGACUAUGAGGUAUGGACCUAGGGAGGAACCAUCCAAUGACCACUGGGUCCUGCAUGUAGUAUUUACUUGCUCGGUUUUAAAAAUGUCUUCAGAAAUACCACAAUUCAUUAUAAUUUUAUAAAUAAACAGGGGAUAGUACAAUACAAAAAAUCCAGGGUAGUCCAGUGCUUUAAAGCCAAAUGGUCUGCCUAAGGGCAAUGUAUCCAGUUUCUUGGUUUCCCCUGCUGUCAGAUAGGAACUAUUAUGCCUGUCCCAAAGGUUGGCUGUGAGGAUUAAAGGAACAAAUGUUUUAAAUCUCUUUGAACAGCUCUUGGCAUAGUGUAUGUGUGCUUAGUAAGUGUUUGCCCAUUGAGGCGGGUGUUCUCAGUGUGCUGUGGUUAUGUAUUAUCAUGAUGGAUGCUGGGGGCAGGGUACUGGGAACUGUGGGAACUGUAUUUGCAACUUCAUGGUGGUCUUUUGGUC
This is a long non-coding RNA of Oryctolagus cuniculus (rabbit), 6741 nucleotides long. RefSeq lists it as uncharacterized. NCBI's taxonomy places the organism in Eukaryota, Metazoa, Chordata, Mammalia, Lagomorpha, Leporidae. The record is from RefSeq and is a predicted model, not a curated record.